AAUGGGGGCAACCCUGAUCCAGCCAUGCCGCGUGUGUGAAGAAGGCCUUCGGGUUGUAAAGCACUUUAAGUUGGGAGGAAAGGGUUAUGGCUAAUAUCCAUGAUCUAUGACGUUACCAACAGAAUAAGCACCGGCUAACUCCGUGCCAGCAGCCGCGGUAAUACGGAGGGUGCAAGCGUUAAUCGGAAUUACUGGGCGUAAAGCGCGCGUAGGCGGCUAAGUAAGCUAGAUGUGAAAUCCCUGGGCUCAACCUGGGCACUGCAUUUAGAACUGCUUAGCUAGAGUGCAGAAGAGGAGUGUGGAAUUUCCGGUGUAGCGGUGAAAUGCGUAGAGAUCGGAAGGAACAUCAGUGGCGAAGGCGACACUCUGGUCUGACACUGACGCUGAGGUGCGAAAGCGUGGGUAGCAAA
Molecule: ribosomal RNA, 410 nt
Filed under: uncultured bacterium
Lineage: Bacteria
Description: bacterial SSU rRNA
Rfam family: Bacterial small subunit ribosomal RNA
Source: RNAcentral